ACAACUCAUGACGGUGGAUGUCUUGGCUCCAGCAACGAUGACGAACGCAGCGAAUUGCGAAAGUAGUACGAACUGCAGAACCCGUGAAUCAUCGAAUUUUUGAACGCAAGGCGCUCGCGGUAAUCCUGCAGUGUCUGUUUGAGUGUC
RNAcentral lists this ribosomal RNA (147 nucleotides) under Sarcodiotheca furcata. RNAcentral's name for it is "5.8S rRNA". It matches the Rfam family "5.8S ribosomal RNA". From Rfam's summary of the family: 5.8S ribosomal RNA (5.8S rRNA) is a component of the large subunit of the eukaryotic ribosome. The record is from RNAcentral. Lineage: Eukaryota; Rhodophyta; Florideophyceae; Gigartinales; Solieriaceae.